GCCGAGUCAAGGGAGGGAGGUGGACUAAAUACAAAAUGGGACAGCUAUUGUUAAACCACAACUUGUAAAUAUACAUCAAUCUUUUGUUGAUAAUAAGAAAGGUACAUCACUAAAACACUCUCCCCAUCAUGAACCCACCUCCAAAUUGUACAAAAAAUUUGCCCCCAUCCACUUGAUCCUAUUAAAUGAUAAGAAAAAUACUUAAUUUUCAUAAUUAGUACC
Molecule: long non-coding RNA, 222 nt
Filed under: Nicotiana benthamiana
Lineage: Eukaryota; Viridiplantae; Streptophyta; Magnoliopsida; Solanales; Solanaceae
Description: long non-coding RNA (NBEN_LNC011743)
Source: RNAcentral